This is a long non-coding RNA of Agrilus planipennis (emerald ash borer), 916 nucleotides long. RefSeq lists it as uncharacterized. The transcript has 5 exons. NCBI's taxonomy places the organism in Eukaryota, Metazoa, Arthropoda, Insecta, Coleoptera, Buprestidae. The record is from RefSeq and is a predicted model, not a curated record.
AACAGCAAAAUGUUAUCUUUAUCAUUGUCUGCCAGCUUUACGUAUAUUUGUUUCACAACGUUGUCAUUUACGACGUUUUGUCCCAUCGACUGUGUGGUAUCGUUAAUUAUGGUGCGGUUUAGUCCUUUUCAACAUCAAAAUAGUGAAGUUAUGACUUAAUACAUUGUAUGCAUUAUUAUGGUCUCUAAGUGAUGGUAUUGGAAUAUACAUAGAUAAUAAUUAAUUAUCAUAAGAAAGCAUGUGAAGGAGAUCUCAUGGAUUUCACGGAAAAUUUCUCUAGAGCAAGAAUAACAGUCGAUGGAAUUGAAUCACGGCAUAUGAAGUCUUAAUUUUUACACGGCUAGCGUAUAUCAAUUGGAUAUUGUUUUGCUGGCUGUUUUGUCGUAAUUCGUAGAAUUUCGCAGUUCCUUGCUAAAGGUACGAUGAGUGGUGAUUUUAAUUUGGAACUUGGAAAUUCCAUGGACCAUGACAUUGAACCCGGAAAACAAUAUCGAUCCAAUAGUUUAGAUUAACCAUUACCAAGGAUUUUAGAAUUUUUUGGGCUUUCUUCAGUUAAAGAAUUAAAAGGCAUUCAUGCAAUGUCUCUUUGGCCCUUGCUGAGCUUCUAAUACCUUCAAUAGCCAAUAUAUUUUCAUAUUUAGACAUAAUUGGAUGAUGACUGAAAAAUUCGAAAAAGUUAGAAAUGCGAUAUGAUUGGAUACAAUUUUGCUGCAUUUUCAUAUUCGAGUACGUUUUUGAAUCGUGAUGGAGUUCUUCUGCAUGUUUCAAGGACAACGACCAACUCAUUUUUUAAUUUUUUGUAAAAAUAUGUAACAAAAGUGGAUUUGUUGAACUAAACUUUGGCGUUUAAAUUCAAAAUGAUAAUUCGAUUAAUUUUAUUAAAUUAGUUAUUCAUUUUAUUAUAUUAAAUUGUAAU